GGGGCCUUAGCUGAGCUGGGAGAGCGCCUGCUUUGCACGCAGGAGGUCAGCGGUUCGAUCCCGCUAGGCUCCA
Molecule: transfer RNA, 73 nt
Filed under: Listeria ivanovii
Lineage: Bacteria; Bacillati; Bacillota; Bacilli; Caryophanales; Listeriaceae
Description: tRNA-Ala
Rfam family: tRNA
About the family: Transfer RNA (tRNA) molecules are approximately 80 nucleotides in length. Their secondary structure includes four short double-helical elements and three loops (D, anti-codon, and T loops). Further hydrogen bonds mediate the characteristic L-shaped molecular structure. tRNAs have two regions of fundamental functional importance: the anti-codon, which is responsible for specific mRNA codon recognition, and the 3' end, to which the tRNAs corresponding amino acid is attached (by aminoacyl-tRNA synthetases). tRNAs cope with the degeneracy of the genetic code in two manners: having more than one tRNA (with a specific anti-codon) for a particular amino acid; and 'wobble' base-pairing, i.e. permitting non-standard base-pairing at the 3rd anti-codon position.
Source: RNAcentral